Molecule: small nuclear RNA, 107 nt
Organism: Erinaceus europaeus (western European hedgehog)
Lineage: Eukaryota; Metazoa; Chordata; Mammalia; Eulipotyphla; Erinaceidae
Source: Ensembl
AUGCUUGCUUCGGCAGCACAUACACUAAAAUUGGAACGAUACAGAGAAGAUUAGCCUGGCCCCUGAAUAAGGAGGACAUGCAAAUUCAUGAAACUUUCCAUAUUUUU